This is a non-coding RNA of Clostridia bacterium 62_21, 148 nucleotides long. The record is from Rfam. Lineage: Bacteria; Bacillati; Bacillota; Clostridia.
AUAUAGUGAAAAAAGCGGCUGUAGACAGUUGGUGUUGUCCGAACUUAAUGGCACCGCCGGGUGCCGCCAACCGAGGCCCCGCGAAAUAAGGGAAGCCUUGAAAGGCCUCUGUAUGCUGCUGUCUACAGGGGCCUUUAAUUUUUGUAAC